Molecule: long non-coding RNA, 484 nt
Filed under: Fukomys damarensis (Damara mole-rat)
Lineage: Eukaryota; Metazoa; Chordata; Mammalia; Rodentia; Bathyergidae
Description: lncRNA (ENSFDAG00000033147.1)
Source: RNAcentral
CUGCCUGGUCCUCCUCAUCAGGGCUUCUUACUGUGGCCUCUCCUUGUCUCAGUUUCCUCAUCUUAUGGGAUUUCAAAAGCAUUAUUGCUUUUAUUUUAUAGGACACAUCCUUUUUAAUCUGCUUCCUCCUGGCCUGGUUCACAGCGGGCUCAGAAGCCUACAGGGUCCGAGCCUGACCCCGGAGACUCAGCGCCACCGCCCAGCACCCUCCGCCAACAGCUCGCUGAAACAGGAAGGAAGACCUUGCCCAGCCCUCCUGGGAGAAAUGGUUUCCCCUUUUGCCUCUGCACUCCACAGUGCCACCCCUGGUCCGGAGGAAGAACAGCACCCUGGAAGGAUUCCCCUCUCCCCCACCAUUGGCCAGGGCUUGGGUCACACUGACCCCAAAGGGCCAUGGCUGAGCAGCUGAGAAGCACGGAGCAGCCUGCACUCUGCUGCCGGCUCCCCACUGACGCGGGAGGGGAGUGAAUAACAGUCUCAGCCA